This 338-nucleotide unclassified non-coding RNA is filed under the name soil metagenome. Its description in RNAcentral is "partial contains 5.8S ribosomal RNA, internal transcribed spacer 2, and large subunit ribosomal RNA". The stretch from base 1 to 120 matches the Rfam family "5.8S ribosomal RNA", at positions 35 to 154 of the family's 154-position model. The record is from RNAcentral.
GAUGAAGAACGCAGCGAAAUGCGAUAAGUAAUGUGAAUUGCAGAAUUCAGUGAAUCAUCGAAUCUUUGAACGCAUAUUGCGCCUUCUGGUAUUCCAGGAGGCAUACUUGUUCGAGCGCCGUUUUCAUACUUCAAGCUAUGCUUGGUGUUGAAUGUUUAAGUCGAUUUAUUACGACUCAUUCGAAACUCUUCGGCACUUGAUCUUCAAGUCAUAACAUGACAGAAAUCUUGUUAUUACAUGUUGAUUAUUAGUUACCCAUCUUUUCAAACUUUUAGAAUUGAUGGCCUCGAAUCAAGUAGGACUACCCGCUGAACUUAAGCAUGUCAAUAAGCGGAGGA